RNAcentral lists this ribosomal RNA (503 nucleotides) under uncultured bacterium. Its description in RNAcentral is "partial 16S ribosomal RNA". It matches the Rfam family "Bacterial small subunit ribosomal RNA", at positions 28 to 523 of the family's 1533-position model. The record is from RNAcentral.
GAUGAACGCUAGCGGCAGGCCUAACACAUGCAAGUCGAGGGGUAGCAGGAUUAAGCUUGCUUAAUUGCUGACGACCGGCGCACGGGUGCGUAACGCGUAUGCAACCUACCUUAUACUGGGGUAUAGCCCGGAGAAAUUCGGAUUAAUCCCACAUAGUGCUAAUGAAUCGCAUGGUGUAUUAGUUAAAGCAUUGCGGUAUAAGAUGGUCAUGCGUCCUAUUAGCUAGAUGGUGAGGUAACGGCUCACCAUGGCUACGAUAGGUAGGGGGCCUGAGAGGGUGGUCCCCCACACUGGUACUGAGACACGGACCAGACUCCUACGGGAGGCAGCAGUGAGGAAUAUUUGUCAAUGGGCGCAAGCCUGAACCAGCCAUGCCGCGUGCAGGAAGAAUGCCCUAUGGGUUGUAAACUGCUUUUAUUUGGGAAUAAACCUCUUUACGUGUAGAGAGCUGAAGGUACCAAAUGAAUAAGCACCGGCUAACUCCGUGCCAGCAGCCGCCGUAA